CAUAGUAUAAUGGCGGCGUGGUUUGGAAAGUGAAAAGAGGGAGUGUUUUUGUUCCGAUUUGUUUAUAUUCAUAUCUUCCAAUAUGAAAUUCUAAGUUCUGUGCGAUUUAUACGAUUUGUGUGUUUAUAAUUUUUAUCCUCGUGGCUUGUGUAUAGACUGUUUAACAUGUCAAAUCAUGAUUUUUGUGCGGUUAUGUUGAAUCGGAAGUAAAUUUUGCGAAAGUCGGAAAAGUUCUACCACUCUGACUAGGAGAGCAGCAAAAUGGUAACUGCUCAGGGUGGCAAUAUGGUCCAACGUUCCCGCCAGCUUGCCACGACCAUUCUUGUUAUCAUUUUGACUGCUGCGGCGCCGUUCACACAUGCUGCAGAAGGUGGCAACUUUUCCGACUUUCCGUUCAUUUACCUAACGCGUAAGUAUGCGUCAGAAACUCCGAGUGGCCAUAUGAGCCCUGCUUCCUUCUUCUUCCUCUCUGUAAAUUCUGGCGCUGCUUUGUUCGGGUUUAUCUU
RNAcentral lists this long non-coding RNA (506 nucleotides) under Bemisia tabaci. Its description in RNAcentral is "lncRNA ENSASIAIIG011727". The record is from RNAcentral. Lineage: Eukaryota; Metazoa; Arthropoda; Insecta; Hemiptera; Aleyrodidae.